GUGAAUCAUCGAAUUUUUGAACGCAAAUUGCACUCUCCGGUUUUCCGGGAGAGUAUGCCUGUUUGAGGGUCUGUUUAAAAAAUAAUCGAGGCUACUUCUUUGGUGUCUCUUCUUUAUUGGGUCAUCUUUCACCUUUCUGUUGUAAUCGACCUAAAAUUUUUUUUACGAUUUCUACUAACUUUUCUAAGAAUUUCUUGUACUUUCACGACAUCUAAAUCAUAGUAGGUUUGACCGCCUCUUCAUGUU
RNAcentral lists this unclassified non-coding RNA (246 nucleotides) under Glomus sp. RNAcentral describes it as "partial contains 5.8S ribosomal RNA and internal transcribed spacer 2". The stretch from base 1 to 72 matches the Rfam family "5.8S ribosomal RNA", at positions 84 to 154 of the family's 154-position model. Lineage: Eukaryota; Fungi; Glomeromycota; Glomeromycetes; Glomerales; Glomeraceae. The record is from RNAcentral.